CGAAUGGGAUUAGAUACCCCAGUAGUCCUAGCCGUAAACGAUGGAUACUAGGUGUUGUCUGUAUCGACCCGGACAGUGCCGUAGCUAACGCGUUAAGUAUCCCGCCUGGGGAGUACGCACGCAAGUGUGAAACUCAAAGGAAUUGACGGGGGCCCGCACAAGCGGUGGAGUAUGUGGUUUAAUUCGAUGAUACGCGAGGAACCUUACCCGGGCUUAAAUUACACCUGAAUAAUCUGGAAACAGAUUAGCCGCAAGGCAGGUGUGAAGGUGCUGCAUGGUUGUCGUCAGCUCGUGCCGUGAGGUGUCGGCUUAAGCGCCAUAACGAGCGCAACCCCUUAUCUUCAGUUACUAACAGGUUAUGCUGAGGACUCUGGAGAGACUGCCGUCGUAAGAUGUGAGGAAGGUGGGGAUGACGUCAAAUCAGCACGGGCCCUUACGUCCGGGGCUACACACGUGUUACAAUGGGGGGGUACAGAAGGCAGCUACCUGGUGACAGGAUGCCAAUCCCGAAAGCCUCUCUCAGUUCGGACUGGAGUCUGACCCG
RNAcentral lists this ribosomal RNA (544 nucleotides) under uncultured bacterium. RNAcentral's name for it is "bacterial SSU rRNA". It matches the Rfam family "Bacterial small subunit ribosomal RNA", at positions 769 to 1314 of the family's 1533-position model. The record is from RNAcentral.